AUCCAGCUGACGACUCUCAAAUAGGACGAAAUACGCAUCCUGGAU
This 45-nucleotide non-coding RNA is filed under the name Trichobilharzia regenti. The record is from RNAcentral. Lineage: Eukaryota; Metazoa; Platyhelminthes; Trematoda; Strigeidida; Schistosomatidae.